Molecule: ribosomal RNA, 508 nt
Filed under: uncultured bacterium
Lineage: Bacteria
Description: bacterial SSU rRNA
Rfam family: Bacterial small subunit ribosomal RNA
Source: RNAcentral
AGAGUUUGAUUAUGGCUCAGAGUUAACGCUGGCGGCGUGCCUAACACAUGCAAGUCGGGCGGGGAGUGGCAGAGUACCGCGCUCCCAGCGGCAGACGGGUGAGUAACGCGUAGGCAACAUGCCCAUAAGAGGGAGACAACCAGCCGAAAGGUUGGCUAAUAUCCCGUAAUACCCUGGGGAGGCAUCUUUUCCGGGUUAAAGCAGCGAUGCGCUUAUGGAGUGGCCUGCGGCCUAUCAGCUGGUUGGUGAGGUAACGGCCCACCAAGGCAUAGACGGGUAGCCGAUCUAAAAGGAUGACCGGCCACAAGGGGACUGAGACACGGCCCCUACUCCUACGGGAGGCAGCAGUGGGGAAUUUUGGACAAUGGGGGAAACCCUGAUCCAGCGAACCGCCGCGUGAAGGAUGAAGGUUUUCGGAUUGUAAACUUCUUUUGCAGGGGGCAAAGGCCGGCAACGGCGUGAUGGUACCCUGUGAAUAAGCCACGGCUAACUACGUGCCAGCAGCGGC